Long non-coding RNA from Cloeon dipterum, 367 nucleotides. RefSeq lists it as uncharacterized. The transcript has 3 exons. Lineage: Eukaryota; Metazoa; Arthropoda; Insecta; Ephemeroptera; Baetidae. The record is from RefSeq and is a predicted model, not a curated record.
GAUCUGUUGAGAAGUCUUCCUUCGGCGUGGCUCCCUGCAGACCGAGCGACCGUUAAGGCGACCGACUGUGGCAGGCAGCCCUAGGAAGAAACUAGCUUCAGUGAGGAGGGAACACAUCUACGUCAGUCCUUACCUGAGUGCUCGAGGACCGACCCUUGACGUAGCCUACGACCUAGAAAGCAGAGAGAAAAGAUUAGGGCACCUGAAUCAGGAUAACACCCUUGGCCCAAGUAGCAGAUGCGCGGCCGCUAUCACCAGCAGAUGAGAACGGCAACCAGUAGAAUCACACUGUUGCUGUAACACACACAAACACACAGACAUUAGCACGACGAGAAAUCACGACCUUGUCAGACAGACCGAACGAAUA